GCUGGAAGCUGUGAAAGGAAAUCACGUAGGAGUCGGGAACUCAGUAAAGAGAUGUUUGAGAUCGUUGAAUCAGCAUUUGAAGCAGUUGGAAACGGAUCUUUAAAAGAAGAAGAUUAUUACUUUGAACUCACUACUCCUUAUUUUCAGUACGAAUCAGGCUGCUAUCCACAGCAGCAGAAUGAUGAAACUACAU
Molecule: long non-coding RNA, 193 nt
Organism: Lytechinus variegatus (green sea urchin)
Lineage: Eukaryota; Metazoa; Echinodermata; Echinoidea; Temnopleuroida; Toxopneustidae
Exons: 3
Source: RefSeq, a predicted model, not a curated record